CCUACGGGUGGCAGCAGUGGGGGAUAUUGGACAAUGGGGGGAACCCUGAUCCAGCGACGCCGCGUGAGUGAAGAAGUAUCUCGGUAUGUAAAGCUCUAUCAGCAGGGAAGAAGAAAUGACGGUACCUGAGUAAGAAGCCCCGGCUAACUACGUGCCAGCAGCCGCGGUAAUACGGAGGGGGCAAGCGUUAUCCGGAAUUACUGGGUGUAAAGGGAGCGUAGGAGGGGAUGGAAGACUGGCGUGAAUGGCGGUGGCCCAACACGCGAACUGCUCUGGAGACUACGUGGCUGGAGUGCAGAAGAGGUGAGCAGAAUGUGUGGUGUAGCGGUGAAAUGCGUAGAUAUUAGGCGGAACACCAGUGGCGAAGGCGGCUCACUGGACUGUAAUUGACGUUGAGGCUCGAAAGCGUGGGGAGCAAACAGGAUUAGAUACCCCAGUAGUC
RNAcentral lists this ribosomal RNA (442 nucleotides) under uncultured bacterium. RNAcentral's name for it is "partial 16S ribosomal RNA". It matches the Rfam family "Bacterial small subunit ribosomal RNA", at positions 338 to 795 of the family's 1533-position model. The record is from RNAcentral.